AGUAACACGUAAACAACCUGCCUUCAGGAUGGGGACAACGGACGGAAACGACUGCUAAUACCGAAUAAGUUCCAAGAGCCGCAUGGCCCAUGGAAGAAAAGGUGGCCUCUACCUGUAAGCUAUCGCCUGAAGAGGGGUUUGCGUCUGAUUAGCUGGUUGGAGGGGUAACGGCCCACCAAGGCGACGAUCAGUAGCCGGUCUGAGAGGAUGAACGGCCACACUGGAACUGAGACACGGUCCAGACUCCUACGGGAGGCAGCAUG
RNAcentral lists this ribosomal RNA (263 nucleotides) under uncultured bacterium. Its description in RNAcentral is "partial 16S ribosomal RNA". It matches the Rfam family "Bacterial small subunit ribosomal RNA", at positions 109 to 353 of the family's 1533-position model. The record is from RNAcentral.